UUUGUUAGUUUUAGUGGGCAUUCGGUGGAUGCCUUGGCACUCAGAGCUGAUGAAGGACGUGGCGGUCUGCGAUAUGCCUUAGGGAGUUGACGAGCGAGCGUUGAUCUAAGGAUUUCCGAAUGGGGGAACCUAGCUGGUGUUAUGGCCAGUUACCACUGCCUGAAUGAAAUAGGGUUGUGGGGGGAACGCGGGGAAGUGAAACAUCUCAGUACCCGUAGGAAAAGAUAUUCCGUGAGUAGUGGCGAGCGAAAGCGGAGGAGGCUAAACCUUGUGCGUGUGAUAGGCGGCGGCCGUUGCGCAUGGGGUGUUGUGGGGCAUGAUCGUCUACCUUCUGCCGGGGGUGGGCAUGGCGUGUUGUUGGUGGUUGAACCUCUUGGGAUGGGGGACCGUAGUGCGUGAUAGUCGCGUAGGCCAGCCGGUGACAUGUUGUGUGGGUUGUGUUCCCGAGUAGUGCGGGACUCGUGAAAUCUCGUGUGAAUCUGCCAGGACCACCUGGUAAGCCUAAAUACUACUGAGUGACCGAUAGUGCAUAGUACCGUGAGGGAAUGGUGAAAAGUACCCCGGGAGGGGA
Molecule: ribosomal RNA, 571 nt
Filed under: Rothia sp. (in: high G+C Gram-positive bacteria)
Lineage: Bacteria; Bacillati; Actinomycetota; Actinomycetes; Micrococcales; Micrococcaceae
Description: Rothia sp. (human oral metagenome) partial 23S ribosomal RNA
Rfam family: Bacterial large subunit ribosomal RNA
Source: RNAcentral